GACGAACGCUGGCGGCGUGCCUAACACAUGCAAGUCGAACGGGGUAAUUUCCUUCGGGAGGUUACUUAGUGGCGAACGGGUGAGUAACGCGUGAGGAACCUGCCUUUCAGUGGGGGACAACAGUUGGAAACGACUGCUAAUACCGCAUAAUGUAUUCGAGCGGCAUCGCUUGAAUACCAAAGAUUUAUUGCUGAAAGAUGGCCUCGCGUCUGAUUAGCUAGUUGGUGGGGCAACGGCUCACCAAGGCGACGAUCAGUAGCCGGUCUGAGAGGAUGAACGGCCACAUUGGGACUGAGAUACGGCCCAG
This 307-nucleotide ribosomal RNA is filed under the name uncultured bacterium. RNAcentral's name for it is "bacterial SSU rRNA". It matches the Rfam family "Bacterial small subunit ribosomal RNA", at positions 28 to 334 of the family's 1533-position model. The record is from RNAcentral.